AGUGAACGCUGGCGGUAGGCCUAACACAUGCCAGUCGAACGGCAGCACAGUAAGAGCUUGCUCUUACGGGUGGCGAGUGGCGGACGGGUGAGGAAUACAUCGGAAUCUACUUUUUCGUGGGGGAUAACGUAGGGAAACUUACGCUAAUACCGCAUACGACCUACGGGUGAAAGCAGGGGAUCUUCGGACCUUGCGCGAUUGAAUGAGCCGAUGUCGGAUUAGCUAGUUGGCGGGGUAAAGGCCCACCAAGGCGACGACCCGUAGCUGGUCUGAGAGGAUGAUCAGCCACACUGGAACUGAGACACGGUCCAGACUCCUACGGGAGGCAGCAGUGGGGAAUAUUGGACAAUGGGCGCAAGCCUGAUCCAGCAAUACCGCGUGGGUGAAGAAGGCCUUCGGGUUGUAAAGCCCUUUUGUUGGGAAAGAAAAGCAGCAGGUUAAUCCCCCGAUGUUCUGACGGUACCCAAAGAAUAAGCAACGGCUAACUUCGUG
Molecule: ribosomal RNA, 492 nt
Filed under: uncultured bacterium
Lineage: Bacteria
Description: partial 16S ribosomal RNA
Rfam family: Bacterial small subunit ribosomal RNA
Source: RNAcentral